AUGAUGUGUCCGGCGCGCGUACGUGCCUGGACAAAGACAUCAAUCAAUUUACUAUCCUUGUUCUUAAUCAUAGGCCUCGGCAUCGACUACGACGGGACGCACUCGGCGCAGACUGACAUGUCGGUGGCCUACAGCCUGGAGGAGUACGCGGCGGCCGUGGUCGCCGCCGUCGGCCGCGUCUGCGACCGCAAGGGCGUGCAACACCCUGUCAUCUGCAGCGAGAGCGGCCGCGCGCUGGUGUCGCACCACUCGGUCCUCAUCUUCGAGGCCUUCUCCGCGACGGCGCCGACUUCCAACAUGAUGGACCCGGCCACCGCCUACCUGCUCGACGAGCUCACCGAUGACUGCCGCAGCGACUACCGCAACCUCAUGGUCUCGGCCGUGCGCGGCGACUUCGACACCUGCGGCCUGUACGCGGACCAGCUGAAGCGGCACUGCGCCGAGCAGUUCAAGGAGGGGGUCCUCGGGCUAGAGCACCUCGCCGCCGUGGACGGGCUCUGCGAGAUCGUCGCCCGCGGCAUGGGCGCGGCGGAGGGGCCGCGCAGGUACCACAUCAACCUGUCCGUGUUCACCUCGCUGCCGGACAUGUAG
RNAcentral lists this ribosomal RNA (591 nucleotides) under Triticum aestivum (bread wheat). RNAcentral describes it as "partial small subunit ribosomal RNA". Lineage: Eukaryota; Viridiplantae; Streptophyta; Magnoliopsida; Poales; Poaceae. The record is from RNAcentral.